UAAAAACAGCAAGUGCUGCUUGGAGAGUUGGAGCGAGUUGUCACCAGCAACAGAUAACAAACACAAGUGUUGGGGGAAAAAGCUCCCGGUGUCUUGACGCUUUCCCUUGACCUCUGUUGAAGAAAAUCUCAUCUCACCGCUUCCAAAAGAAAGGGAGACUGUGGGGAGCCCCACCCCCACUGCCGUCUCCGGUGUCUGUGACUACGAGAACACGGAGGGGGGUUGCUGCGGAUGGUGCAUCAUGGGCCACACAGCAAGUCAUGCUCCACCUCUCUUCUUCCCACAGUCUAGGUGCAAGUGACUGAAAGCAAGACCGCACAUUGUCUGAGGGACCCAGAUGUGUCUCCAUUUUCUGUUUCAUCUCGACUAUGAAGCUUCAGGCUGUGCAAGGGUUGCCAGUAAAGGUGGCAGGAGAGACCGGGGACCUUCCAGUCUGUUUGAGGCCCUUUCCUCGCCAGCUGUGAGUUCCUUAGCUCAUUAACCCUCUGAAAGCUCAUGCAGAUCCUUGCUGUGGGGAUGCCUGGCUGGGCCAGCAAGCUGAAGAGUGGGCAAGCAGCCUGCUGGGGAAUCAUAUUGUGAAUUUCGCCACGAGCUACACUCAAGGACCACCAUUCUCUGAAAUGAAUGUUUGUUGACUAGAGUCCUCAGGAUCCAUUUCCAAUAACUGAAAACCCAUAUUUGUAGGAGGUCUGAAACGGACUCCACAGCCACCAAUCUCUGCUGGGACCCAUAUUUUUACAUCACUCAACACUCAUCAGAGAAGCUGCUUCUUGCAAUAGAUGGGAAUUAACACAGAGACCCACAACUGGAGAAUGCUCAGUGAGAGACUUUGGAGCACUCAUCAGUGGGGUGUUUAUAUCAAACUCCUCCUCUCAAGGCUCAGAAAUCGACGUGGAAGAGGAGGCAGAAACCGUGUAAGGGACAGAGGUGGUGAGUGACUGACUCUAAGGAAAAGGUACCUCCGUACACAGUGGGACAGAUGCACAUGUGAAUUCACAGACUGUGACAGCACCCAUGAGACCUGCACAAAUUCAAGCCCGACCAAAUCUCAGCACUGAGAAGAGGAAGUGGGCACCAAGUCCCACCCCUAGUCCGGAAGCUGCUUGCAAUUGAUGUCUGCUGGGAAAAGGGAAGAUUGGCUUUGUCCAAUGGAGUGUCACUGGGUAUAGUAACUACACUUCAGGGAAGGAAGGCCCCAUGCUCAGGAGUUGGCCAACACAAAA
This is a long non-coding RNA of Peromyscus leucopus (white-footed mouse), 1223 nucleotides long. RefSeq lists it as uncharacterized. The record is from RefSeq and is a predicted model, not a curated record. The transcript is spliced from 3 exons. Lineage: Eukaryota; Metazoa; Chordata; Mammalia; Rodentia; Cricetidae.